Molecule: long non-coding RNA, 2871 nt
Organism: Trachemys scripta elegans
Lineage: Eukaryota; Metazoa; Chordata; Testudines; Emydidae
Exons: 3
Source: RefSeq, a predicted model, not a curated record
AAGAAAUUAUAGUUCAACCCUUGAAUGAAUGAUGCUGGUGCUGAAAACAAAUUUAUUGAAGACAUCUUACAAUGGCCACAUGAUUCCAGUAUUUUGCUGCAGAAUUUAAUUUGAAGCACUUUUCACUUGACAAUCUCCAGCUGCUCAUACCAGUGGUGACUCAGUUCAGAUGAGAGGUCAGAGGGAUGGCUGAGUGGAAGAAGGAACAUUGCUGUAGCCAUGAAGUAACCAGUCCAAAACUAACCUAAACCUUUAUGUGUGUGUAUAGGUUUCUAAUCUGGAAUAACUUUAAACACCCUCAUCAUCCCCAGCCGUUGAUUGGGGUUGAAAUAAAAUUGUAUGAGGAAUCAUUAAUAAUCGCUCAACAGAAGUCAAUUUAGAGUUGUCUUAUGGUCUCAAAAGAGACUGUCUGUCUUCUUAACUGCACAACACCACACCUUUAUUUUUUCUGGGUAUUUCUGAGCAGCUUCCUUUUCUCUUUUCCUCUCUGUACUCACUUGUAUUUGCAUUGAUAUUAGUGACAGUUAUGUCUGUGCACCCAUAAGAAGAAUAUAUCUCUCUGUCUUGCCCCUUGUUACUUUGAUAAUUCAAACCUUACUAUUUUCACCAUUAAACUAUUAUUGUUGUUAAGUGACUCAUUGUAAGAUACAACAAAUAUAAAACCCAUAAUAGUUGCAAUUCAUAUUUCACGUGAUCAUCAUUUAUCUAAGAAAAUCUAAGUGGAACAGUGAAUAAACCAAGAAUGAAGUUUUAUAGUUGUACAGAAAAAGUAUUUGACAUUAAGGAACAAAUAUAUACUACUAUCCAAAAAAAGUAAUUUGUGCUAAAUCUUUAGUUGCUUGUUUGGCCAAAAUGUAACAAGGAUAGACCCACAAUACUUAUGAUGGAACACUUUCAGAAAUUUUUGCCCAAAGCUACAAGGAGUAAACCUUAAUUCAUCACUCUGCAAAGUAAAUUGCAGUACAGCUGCUGAUUUGGGAAUAUACAAAACACACUAAAUAUAAUCACAACUUCUGAUCUUUUGUCUUUAACUAACUCCUAAACACUUUAACCUAGCUAUAGCUAACUUUAUUGAUAUUGUUACAGCACUGAGUGGUUCAUGCACUGGAACCCAAGAAGUGGGUUAUUUCUGUUAGGACAGAAAAAUAAGUAGAUGGCAAAUGUAGGCUUAUUAAAUUAUCCUAAUCUACUUUUCUUUACAAAUGUACAAUUCCUGAUAAUAGGAUAUGAACAGACAGCACAACUCCUCACAGCAACUCUCCCUGGCUAUUUUCCAGAAUCAGAGUAAUGUUCUCAAACCUCAUGCACCAUGGGCCUGAUUCACAACUGCCUUGGAUUUUGCAUAGUCAUCUACACCUCUGCAGAGUGAGCAUAAAAUGCUGCCAUAUUAGAAUGGCACCAUUUUACACCCACCUUGAACUGUGUCUACACAGACUUCACAAAGUACAAAGCAGUGGUGAAUCAAGCCCACCCCAAACUAUUAAAAUCCCUAAAAAAAAUAGAGCAAGUAAUUUUGUUGAAUAAAACUCUUAUUUUAUAUAGUCUAUAUGAGGAUUAGAGAAGUAGAUAUAUAUCCCCAUCACUCAAACCAUUCAACUCCCAGACUUUAAUUUUGCUAGCUAGAGAGGUAAAAAGCUGAUCAUCUUCAGAGAUAGUCUAUGUUAAAACUACUAAGAUCACUGCAUUUCUGGGAUAUGCUAUUAAAUGCAUUCAUAUAAUUUUAGGUGGUAUACUCUCUUCAUGUGCUCAUUAAUGUUAUCAGGAAUUCUGUAGUGUCCUUGGUAGAAUACACUUCUGUAAAUUGUAAAUGUUGUACAUAUUUAGGAGAAAUCCUGCCUUUUUAAAAAUUGUUUUUAUUGUAGUUUUAUUACUAUUACUUAUAUUAGAAAAGUAUACAUUUGAAACAUGCAAUAAUCAUAGUAAAACCAAUCUCUACUCAACUUUUGUUUAUUGUUAGAGUUGCAAAGGACCAUUAUACACAUUAUCACCAGGAUCUGUGUAACAUUUUUGAGCAAUGUAGAGAGUGUUUAAAUAACUCACCACCCUCUGUUAGGACUUAAUGAGAAAAAUCUUGCCAAAUAGUUGGAUGACAUUACACAAAUUAGACACAGGCCUAAAGCCUAUUUUUGCAGGUGAGAUAUAACAGAUGAAUAUCUAUACGACCCCAGGCAGCACAAAGAACAUUAUUUAAACAGACCCCUGCUGCCAAGGUUUAGUCCCAAACACUCUCCUAGAUAUAGUGCAAGUUUCACAAUAUAGUGGGGACUGCAGGUGUUUUCAAACAGUUCCGGCUACACAUUUGUAACUCCAGCUGAAGCAAUGGUGCCAUGGAGUUUUACUAUUCUGACUAUAUGGGAAACAUCCAACGAAGUCAAAAGAGGAAUACAGUUUUAAAGCUCUAUCCAGUCACUUCAGUCAAAUAUUCAGGUUGCGUUAGGCUCUGACUCUAAUAUGUCUAAUAAAUGUCAGCCUGCCAGCUGAUCUUUUCUAAUUUUCUCCCUUGGAUUUCCUGGUAGACUUGGGUCCCAGAAUAUGCAAGUUAUGUUUCAGUCACAUUUUUAAUUUUGCUCAAGUUGUUUCAGCAUUUUUUAAAAGAUGAUCUAGACAUCUAUGUCGCACUCAUCACCACGGUAUCUGAGUGUAGUUUGUUAAGUCCUCUUGGGGGUGAGGACAGACGUACAAGCUGCCUGAAAUCACCUCCAGCUCUGCCAGAACAGCUGUAAAAGCAGGUGACGCUGACCAUGGAGGGGCUAAUUCCAGGGCAACCGAGAGCUUUGCUGAUUCACUGCAUCUUCUAGGCAGCUUUGCCAAGCUGCUGUUUAACAUCAUACACCAAUAUCACAAUACCAUUUAGAAGAGGAAGUAAAGGUU